Molecule: ribosomal RNA, 492 nt
Filed under: uncultured bacterium
Lineage: Bacteria
Description: partial 16S ribosomal RNA
Rfam family: Bacterial small subunit ribosomal RNA
Source: RNAcentral
AGUGAACGCUGGCGGUAGGCCUAACACAUGCAAGUCGAACGGCAGCACAGUAAGAGCUUGCUCUUACGGGUGGCGAGUGGCGGACGGGUGAGGAAUACAUCGGAAUCUACUUUUUCGUGGGGGAUAACGUAGGGAAACUUACGCUAAUACCGCAUACGACCUACGGGUGAAAGCAGGGGAUCUUCGGACCUUGCGCGAUUGAAUGAGCCGAUGUCGGAUUAGCUAGUUGGCGGGCUAAAGGCCUACCAAGGCGAGGAUCGGUAGCUGGUCGGAGAGGAUGAUCGGCGACAUUAGAACGUGGACGGCCACCAUGCGCCUGCGGUACGCAGCAGUGGCGAACAGGAGGCAAUAGGCGGGAGCAUGACCCAACCAGAGCGCGUCGGAUGAAGAGGCCUUCGGGUCGUAAUGCCCGUUUGCUGGGAAUAAACCGCAUCAGGUUGAUACCCCGCGUUACUGACGGUACCCAAAAAAGAAGCACCGGCUAACUUCGUG